UUUCAACUAAACCAAGGUGAAAAAUUAUAUGUCGAGUGUAGUGGGAGACUGUACACCGAAGGGUGAUUCAGAAGAAGAUAACACGCUUCCUAGUGCAAAAAGGAAACCAUAUCCGGUGGUUCUUUGUGACAGUGAAAAUUCCACAUCAUCAAUGACACAUGAUGAUGAUUUACUUGAAAGUGAUAAUGAUAUAAAACCGUUUAUUCAAAAACGUUUUCCGGCAACCAUGGGUGGACUUUCGAUACCACAUCACGGACUAUCAGCUGCGUUUCACGGUUAUCAUGCCCAUUCGGCGGCAGCAAAUAUCAACAAUGGCAAUAAGACUCCAUUCUUAUUGCCUGCUGAGAUUUAUAAGAGCCUGUUUGCAAGUGCAGUCCUUCAGAAACAGCAACAGCAUCAUCACCAUCAAUAUAACCAAACAAGUUUAUCCACCACAAUGUCCGGAAAUAGUAGUGGUGCAUCGAUAGCAGAGAAGACUAAUCACUCGCCUCCACCACCUCCACCGUUUCCAAGGAAUUUGUUGUUUUCAUGUGGUGAAAAAUAUCAUCAAAGUCUUCAGGAUCAGGAGAACGAUGUACCGGAGAAUAAGAUUAAUGAUAAGGCUGCCGCAUUUGUAUGGAAUAACGAUGGAUCAGUGACAUCAACUAAUCACAGUACGAUUUCACAUCACAAUAAUAAUAACAACACUACAAGUAAUAACAAUAAUCACACAACAAAUAAUCAUUCCUCGGCAUCAGCGACUCCAGUUCCUGGAGUGUCACCUGUAACAACAUUAAGUUCACCUGUCGGUUUAGGACCUAACGCAACAAUGCCUGUGGGAGGUGUUCAAGGUCAAAACCCUACACAAGGGUUAGUACAUUGGAUGAGUGCUGUUAUGGCUGAACAUAUGACGGGAAAUACACAUCAUGAUCCAACGGUGGGAAUGCAUUACAUGUGGAAUGGCGGUGUAGAUCAAUGCGGUCAACAUUCAAAAGAUAUUGACUACAGUGGUUGGCCAACACCUCGAAAUCAUAUGUCAAUGAAACAAGGAUAUGAGGCUAAAAUGAAUGAUCACCACAGUAAUCUACAAAAAGGACAUCUUUUAGACGACAGUCGUUUGGAUCAUCAUCCCGGAGUUCAGAGUAGUCAAAUGGCAAUAUAUGGUGCUACCGGUGCUUUGCGAUCCGGUUCGUCGAGCAGUAGUUCUCCUGGUGGUGGUCAUGGCCAUCCUGGAGCGGCAGCAGCAGCAGCUCUACUAGUUGUUCCGCAACCAAUAAAUGCAACAAAAAUUACAGCUGGACUUACGAACGGGACCGGAACUGGACGAAAAUAUCAGUGUAAAAUGUGCCCGCAGAUAUUUAGUUCCAAAGCAGACUUGCAGCUUCAUACGCAAAUUCACAUGCGCGAAGCCAAGCCGUACAAGUGUUCGCAAUGCGCCAAAGCCUUCGCCAAUUCCAGCUACCUUUCGCAACACACUCGUAUCCAUCUGGGAAUAAAACCCUAUCGUUGUGAAAUUUGCCAACGGAAAUUCACCCAACUAUCACACCUACAGCAACACAUUCGAACACAUACAGGUGAUAAACCGUACAAAUGUCGACACCCCGGGUGCCAAAAAGCGUUUUCGCAACUUUCCAAUUUGCAAUCACACUCCCGCUGCCAUCAGACUGAUAAACCAUAUAAGUGUAAUUCCUGUUAUAAAUGCUUCUCGGACGAACCAUCUCUUCUGGACCACAUACCAAAACAUAAAGAAUCGAAACAUUUGAAAACGCAUAUUUGUCAAUAUUGUGGAAAAAGUUAUACCCAAGAAACAUAUUUAACUAAGCAUAUGCAGAAACAUGCAGAGCGAACGGAUAAGAGACCACCUAUAACCGGAACAGGAUUAAGUUCAAACUCAAAUCGAAAUUUGGGAUUGAACACAUCGAUACCAGCUGUGACAGGUGAACAUCCGUAUUGGCCGAAAGUUAGUCCAGAUUCGGCGGCAAGUCUGACGGAGGUGAUGCAUCAGCAACAUCAACAGCAGCAGCAACAACAACAGCAGCAACAGCAACAACAACAACAGCAGCCAGGACAACCGAAUCAUCACGAUUUCCCACCGAUCAGUUCACAACAUCCUGCUAACAAUGGCCAUCCCGACCUUCAAGCGCAUCACCGAAUGUUAGACAAUCACCGGGAUGAUGUUGCCUCUACACCAAUUGGACCGUAUGACACUGGUAGCCUAACAAAAACGACCAGUAGUUCAGCAUUUACACCGAUAAAUUCAAUGACACCUCAUUUGAAUUCGCUAGGACAUCAUCCAAUGACGCAACGCCCCUACCUGUAUGAUACCAUUAGCUUCCAGAACAAGAAUGUCAAUCAAAACACCGCCAAUUCCUUUCCCAAUCAAUUAAUUUCAUUACAUCAAAUUCGUAAUUACGCCCACCAACCUGCCGGUUUAAUGGCUGGUGAACAUUUACUCGGCGUGAGCGUAGGCGCCGGGAAAGAUAAAGGAUAACUAUACUUUUAAGGGUUGUCACUCCCUUGAAAAAUAGUGUGAUCAACUAUAGAUUGAUAUUCUAUAGAGUAACCAUGUUUUUAGUUAGAGGCUCGAAAUGUGAAAAUGAUGUUAAGCAUGCGAAGAAUUAUUUCUUUUACGAAUAAGACUAGAAGAAUAUGAUGUCCUAUUUCGAAACGUACGGAUGAGGACAAGGUAAACGAUCUCAGCACCAAAAUAGGUUAAUUUUUAAAGGAACUGAAAUUUCUACUAAAUAUUUAUAUUUUCGGUUUCUUCAAACUCAAAAGCACUAAACAUCGACGAAAAGUCCUUUUUUAUUCAGUCGAUGGAUUGAUUUGCAGUUUUGAUGUUUGGAUGUUUUAUUUGAUUUAUAUAUAUCUAGGCUUAUACCUCGCAAACACUUCCAUGUAUUAUGAAAACUUACAAAUAACCUUUCUACACGUGCACCCUCGGACUUGCAGGAUUUGAUAUAAUAUUAUUAAAUCCCAGCAAAAUAAUGCACGACCUAUCUAAAUGAUAUCCUAUCGAUUGGCUCUUUUUUGAUUACGGGUUUUUGAAAAUUCUGGCAAUUUUGAGAUUUUUUCCUCAGUCAGUUAUCUGCGGAUACAGGCGUAACUGACAGGCCGGUCUGAUCGUGUAUAGCAGGCUGAAACUGAGUUAAACAAGUUUGGCAAAUUUUAUUUUUCCGGUUAGAGUUUAUGUUGUUGUCAGUUGUUAUACUACUCCCUGUAUAAAAGCUCCGUAAGCAGAAAGUAUGUAAGCCGUUCAAACUGCAUAAAUAACCUCACCGAAUUUAAGUCUGCUAUCGUUCACUAUUUCAUAUGUUCAUUAAAGGAAAGGAAACACAGCCUCAUUACUAAGAAACUGUCAAUAACGAUUAUAGACAGGAGCGUGUGGAUGCCUUAUUGUCUAAUCGGGAAGAAAAGGAAGGCACAAUGUACAUCAAUUUGUUUCCUGUUUGAUGAACGAAGAGUCUUGGGUGCUAGUCCUAAACAUACUACUGUGUCCAAAAAGUAAGACCAGUUUUUAUUUAUUUGUUUUAGUUUCCAGAAGGCACACGGUACUAAACCAGGCGAAUAUGGCGGACCUAUCAUGAUAUGCAUCGAAUUUUUGUCGAAAAAGCCACGAAGAAUGAGUGCUCUUUUUCAAAGAAACUGAGUUGGUUUUUGCACUAAUCAAGACCACGUUUCAGACCUAAAAUAUCUUUCAAAAUGUUAUUGUCAGAUCCUUUCAAAAUGUUAUUGUCAGAUCCUUUCAAAAUACCAGCAGUAUUAGCAAGCUCUCUAGCAGUCAUUCGACGAUAGAAUUCGCAUAAAUUCCUCAAUUUUCUUGACAUGUUGUUCCUCGGUAGAGGUUGAUAGUCGUCCAUAAUUCUCUUCGUCUUCAACACUUUCACAGCCUUUUUUGAUAUGUUUAUACUACUUAUUAAUAUUCUUUUCCAACAAAGCAUAGUUCACUGGUCCGCGAAGGCUUUCUGUAUCAUUCUGAACGUUUCUGCACCCGAAAUUUCAUCCCGGAGAGGAAAUUUAAUGCAACUUCUUUGCUCAAUAUACUCGUAUAGUAAUUAUACAUUGCAAAUAUCGCCGAAUGCACUUUAGGCGUCGUACAAAACCAAACGUAAAUUUGUCGCAGAUACCUGUCACAAUGCUGCCAACUUAGAAAAAAAACGCGUGCUGUUUACCCGAACGAUUUAAAUUGAAAACUGGUGUUACAUUUAAGACAAGGGUAGGGGUCCGUCUGUCCAUUUAUAAAACGAAAGAUAUCAAGCCGUCGCUAAAUAGUUGAUUUACGCAUUCUCAUAACACUAUUUUUGUUUCAUUAUGAGCAAUAGCUUUCCGUUUAAAUUUUUAAACACUAUGCGAUUUACGGAUGCCGCAGAGGGGAUAGUUGAGCUCUCCGAUCUUGUUACACUGAGUUCAAAUCCUGAUCGUCAAGGAUAUCGGUGUUUGUCUUCGUGCUGUUAGGCUGCUGUAGGAUGAUAACGAAACUGAAACAUACAGACGGUGUCAAUGCCCUAUACACGACAAAAGAGUGAACAGUGACAUUCAUGCGAUUUACAACACUUUUUAAAAUCUUCAUUUCAUCCUCACAAGGUUAUUAGCUCACACACUUUCUGUCAAUGGUUACCCCAUAUCAUUUUCUACACUUUUUUCACCAUUGCUAGCUUAUUUGAUCAAUCAUUGCGAAAUUUGUCUUAGUACGGCCUCGUUUAAACUCUACUACCUAUGUGGUUGCCAUUCACCCCUUGGUGGGGUAUAGCGCGUCAACCUACGUGCCAUCGUUCGCGGUUACCUGAAAUGCCCUUCAGCUCGCCCCACGACUUCCCGAGACUAGCGUAUAGUUAUAGUCUCGAAAUGAGGUGGUCUCAAUGCAGCUUUGUAGAGAAUUUAUAAAAGGACACAAUAACCACAAGACCAACAACUGUUAAUCGAUGGCGAACAAUACUUCCAGUUGAUGAAUGACUAUUAUUCAUCUUCAGCAAUCCUGUAGUCGGCCGGUACUUAGAACCAUGGGAGGCGUUAGUGAUGCAUAAUUUAUUACCUCAAAUAGGAAUUGCUAUUUUAGAAAUAUGGCCUAUGAAGAUAGAUAUUAAUGCUGAAUUUGAACUCCUCCUUUUUCCUUCCUUGAUCAAACAUUAAUUCGUGGGACGACUAAGUGUUUCGAAUGUAUAUAUGUAGUAUCACGACGUGCAACGCAUUGGGUGAUCGCCCGUCUAAACUUCCAGUGUGGUUCAAACAUACGUAGGCCUUCGGAUCUGCCGAUUUGUCCAAUAUCACUAGAUGUGCAUGGAGUGAUCACAUAAAGAAUAUCUUCGGUCCACCUACAUAUAUAUCUCAAUUUGUUCUCUACAUAUCUUAAUAUCGUUUGACACAAUAUAUCAGGCCAGGUCUAUUCAAUGCCACGCGGUUCAGAUGCUACCCUGAUGUCUCUCAUAUCCAUCUCCCUGGUUCCGUCUUAAGAAUGUCUGGGGUAUAACGUCCCACCUUGGCUUUAUUAGGCUGUAAAGCGAGGGACUUUAGGAACCUAAUCCUUGGUCAGUACGACUACUUCUGUUUUCUCCAGAACUACUGAGACAAUGUUAAGCCACCCAUCUGUGGACUUAUCGCAUCACCAGUCCCAGUGUAUGUUGAAUUUGUUCAACCGUGCGUGCGACAACCAGUGCUUCAAAAUCAUCCACGGGCUUUAAUUGCAUCAAUUCUGGAUUGCCCCGCUCUAAAACCAUCUUAACCAAUUCUGAUGCCCUAGUUCCCAACUCUGAUAUUAGAUUACUUUAUUAUUCCUGUAAUAAUUAAGCAAGAUUAUCAAAUGUAGCCUGACCUUGCCCAGUUAUGCCUUUACUUUGCUGAUUAAUUCAGUAGCCUAUAUUUCGAUCUUCACUGAAUUCUUUGCAACAAAAGCCAAUGUCAUGUUUUGGCUUAAUCAACUGUGGGAAUUUCCUUCUUAAUGAAAAGCAUUGUCAUGACAAUAUACAAAAGAGGCUCCAGUAAGGUAUCUUGCAAUACAGUGUCUGUUCCCCAAGCAAUAGAAGUAGUAAUUUUUUUUCUAACACCCUGGAGGGUCUUGACGGAAACGGUUGUCAUGUCGGUUUAAGAGACUUUAAUGCAGUCAAAAUAGCAUCCUCUAGAGACGGUUUUAAUUUUCCAAUUCUGCUAGAAGCAUUGUCAUAACCGAGUAUACGGUCAGGAUUCCAGAAAGACGUUUUUCACAAUCUUUCAUGAACAUCCAUAUAGCGUCUCUUGAAUGAAUAAACUCCUUAUGAAUCACAGCCAAUUUUAGCAUUAAGAAAUACAGCCAGUAUUGUUGUUACUUCUGACUUACUUCGGCGCUCUAAUAUUUUUCGCCGCACCUAAAUACCCGUGGUUUGUCUUGAAGAACAAUUACAUAAAAUCAUAUGCCUAAUUUCUUCUAGCAGCUUCCCACAAUACGCUUUCCGUAUUCACUUUCCGGUAGUAUCCAAAACUACCUUCAAAUCCAUACCAUCUAUUUUAUUAUAGUUUUCCUGGAGCAAAUUGUUCAAAAAGAACUGCAAAACUGUCUAUCGCAAGUAGUUUUCUUUCUACGACGAACCAUCGAGAUAGAUAGAGAGAUGUAUUUACCUUGAGUAACUGAUUCAGGGAAACAACUGUGAAUGACAAUGCCAUUGGCCCCUUUCAUAGUUUUGCUCAUUAAUGGCAGCUGUCACGGACGUAUCUAGAAGUGUUGUACAUGACAGAUUGCUUAUGCCCAACCAGGGGUAUAUUUUUCUUUGUACCCAUACGGAGGUGAAAAAUCAUAGAAAGACACGUCCGCUCCAGCCCCGCGAGACCACCACUUAGGUAUUACUUCGCGGGGUGGGUUUACCUUACAGCAUUCAUCCUUCUGCACGUUUCGGCUUUGCUCCUUAUUUUCUCCUUCGGCAACGUUUGCUUUGUUUUACCAUUGCGGACGAAACCGUAAGUUGCUUUUCCUUCACGACUAAGUUCUCCAACCUAAAGCAGUGCAGAUACUGCCUACAGCAACCACCGUGUUCGGUGAGAAACUGUGCAAUGUGGUAGUUGGUCUCUCCAUGUUUCCGUCCAAGUCACAGCCUAAUGUUGAUGAUUAGCCUAUUCGUCCACCGACCUUUCGUAGACUCAUCCCAUCUGCAUUACCAGAGAUCAUUCGAUUUUGACUUUGCCGCAGUCCUACGUUCUGUGUGCCCCUUCAUGCUUGUAUGGUAGAGCACCAGCCCGCCACCACCUCUCCACCACUACCUCAUCUGAUGUGGUUCUAAAAGCACUGCCAACUCUCAAUAUCAUCAGUCAGUAAACCGAAUUCACCUUCUUUCGUCUUUGAGAGUUUGCAAGUGCAUGUGACAAGUAAAGCAGGAUGAAUCGCGUCAGUACGGCUAGAAGCAACCUCGAACAGUGUUUCGGCCCGUCAAUAUUCGACAACAUUUUGCAAGUGCAGCGCUGGCACUGGCUGCCUUUUGGGAUGCAAAUUCUAGGUGUUCCCUAAAGCUCAGUAUGUCGUCAGUUAUGACCACCAGGUAUUUGAUACCCCCGCUGUGACCCUGUGCUUUUUGGGGAUCUCAUUCGUCUCGUAUCAGAGAGGCAAUUUUGAAGGAACCAGAUUCCCUAAAUUUCCGGGAACGCCAAUUUUAAUUAACACCCCUUUAAAACUAUUCCAGUUGGUUGGGUUAAAUGCACUUUUCACAUCCAAUGCCGACACUGCACAUUAGCUUCCAGAAACUAGUGCACCUUUUGCCAGGUUCACGACCAUGCUUAUUGCAUCUACUGUAAAGUGGGGGCGCUGGUAACCAAACUGGCGAUCCAACAAGCCAUUGCUGUUUUCGAGGCUGGGUAGGAAUCUAUUCUAGAUGACUGGCUCCAUCGCAGCAGGCAGAUCGGGUGACGUAAUGCUCGGUCUCCUGGUGGCUGGUUGGGUUUGGGAAGCAACACGAACUUUUGCUUUCUCUGCUGGACGGAAGGUCAAACAAGUAAUCUAUGGUCACCCGUGUUCUUUAGUUUCAUCCAUUAUCAUAUAUAUGAUAUAGCUGUCUAAUGCAUUCCACUUUCUGCUUCGCUACCUAAUUACUAGAAAAAAGCCUUUUUCUGGAAGCAUAUAGAUUUCAGUUCUGCGACGUCCUAGUCCUACUAGUAUUUUAACUGCUGCAGGAACAUAUCUUUCCC
This 8121-nucleotide unclassified non-coding RNA is filed under the name Hermetia illucens (black soldier fly). RNAcentral describes it as "zinc finger protein rotund-like, transcript variant X4". Lineage: Eukaryota; Metazoa; Arthropoda; Insecta; Diptera; Stratiomyidae. The record is from RNAcentral.